This 7540-nucleotide long non-coding RNA is filed under the name Gallus gallus (chicken). The record is from RNAcentral. Lineage: Eukaryota; Metazoa; Chordata; Aves; Galliformes; Phasianidae.
GUGAUUUCCUGUCUUGCAUACACGACUGUUAACAUUCCUUGGUGUUAUUGUUAUUGUGAGCGCGAGUGUGAGCAAAAACACCUGGAGGGGAGUGAGCAUAUAUAUACGGCGUUUUUAAGCAGCUGGUUUGUAGAAAGCACAAUAACAACGUAAUUGGGCCAAGAUGGUCAUCGCAACCGUGCUUUCUUAAGCUGGCUCAGACAGCUUCCACUCCCGCCUUAUGCCGGAGGGAUCGCUCUCGCCAGGCGCACGCAGGGGAAGCCGCGGUCCCGCCUCCGAGGUGAGGUAAGGCCGGGCCGGGGCAGGCCCUGCGGCGCGGGAUCGCGCGGGGAGGCGGCGGGCGGGCAGGUGAGGGGCCUGAGGGCCCGCGCCAGAGCCGCAGCCGGGAGCGGAGCGGCCCCGGGGGCCGGGCGGGGGCGGGAAGAGAGGCGGGAGGCCGGGCCUGGGCCGUCGCUCCCUUCCGCGCUGCUCCGGAGGCCGGGCCGGGCCCAGCGGGCAGCGACGCGAGGCGCCGUCUUUCCGCUCGUCGCGGCCUGCACCGCCACCCCGCCUCGUCCCCUUCCCCACCGCCCCCCGGUACCUGCCGGCGUUCCCAGGGCCGCGGGGCGGCGGCUUCUGGCGGCGGUGGCGCUGCCUGCGCGGAUGUGCCGGGCCCCGCCGCGAGGAGGGGAAGGGGCGGGGGUGGGGGCGGACGCGGGGCCGCUUCUCGCCCCUGCCAGGCGGAGCGGAGGGGCUGUGGGGAUCGCCGCGCUGCGGGGCGGGCCGCGCCCUCCCCUUCUGCUUUUGGGCUCCGAGGAAGGAACGCGACGGGGUUCUGUGGGAGCAGAUAUCGGUGGCAGCGCCCAGCUACAAACCCGCCCCCAAAAUAAGUGUGUUUUUUUCUUUUUGGUUUGAGCGCUUAUCAAGGCACCGCGCUUGCUACGGCCUCAGAACCGGCCGCGGGGCUGCGGCUCGCGCUGCGGGAAGGCCGCUGUCCGCGCGGGUUCCUCAGGGAGCGCCCGCCCGCUGUUCCCGUGGGCUCAGCGCAGCCGGGGAGUCCCUGCAGAACGGUGGCGUGCAGUUAGGUUUUGUGCUCUUCCACGGUGAUAGUCACAGAGAUCUGUGCUUCUAUAGAUUAGAAUCCCAAAAUGGGGAGGUGUGUUGUGCUCUGUGUGUUGUAAGCUCCCUUGUAUUUAACUGUGACACAAACACUGAGGUGCAGGAAAGCUCUUAUCUCUGUAGCAAAGACCUCCCUGCAACACCAGACUUUUUUUUUCCCCCGAUUUAACAAGUGUGAACCACGCUUCUUUAUUGCAGUGCCUUUAAAGCUUUUUGUCAUAGCAGAAAGUUUACCCCCAAAACCUUAUCCAAAUGCUGACUCCCACAUCCAAUUGCACAAAGCAGAUUUCCCCCCACAUUCAUACAAAUACUGUGGUAUGGGCUGAAGUGGAAUUCACUUCUUCAGUGCAGUGUUCAGGUGCUUUUCCAUCAGCAUUUCAGAGUCCAGCAAUACUUGCUUUUUGGUUCCACAAUUAGUUCAACAUCAGUGUUUCAAACAGGCAGAAAUUCAGGGAAAACUUGCUUGGAGAGGCACAGCAAACUGUAACGACCCUGGUGAUUCAGAGCCGUUGGACCAAUGUCUUACAACAUGCAAAGUCAGGUAGAUUUUAAGGAUCUGUCUUUGCACGCUUCCUAUGUUAUAUAAUUAGUUUUAGAAGAAAUGGAAUGUAUGUUUUCUCUUAAUUCUUCUGAUUAAGAUCCUCAAUUAAUUAAACAUUUCCACUACAAGUCAGUUUACAGUUGGUUAGACAUACUGAAGAAUUCAGGUUAGACUGAAACUGAAGAAUUAUGGGCAUUAGGUUCACCAUGUUACUGAUGGCAUCAGAACUAUAGCCAUGUCAUGCAGGUCAGGUGUUUGCUAAAAUUACCAUACCGUAUAUGAAUCAAACAAGUGAUUUUUAUGGUAUAAAUAAAGUCUUAAGUAUGCGUAUUUUUGUAAAGAACAGCAUAUUGCAUUACCUUUUAAGCAGUUAAUUCUCACUAUAAGCCCAUUCCAAAGCUAUGGGACAUUGUCUUUGGCACAAGUGGAGGGAAGGUGUGGCAGCAUGUAUGCACAGCAGAGAAGGGUUCCAGCAGGAUCACAAGGCCAGGAUAUUUGCAGGGGCAGAAUAUGUUCUGCUGAGGCUGUUCUGUUUUGUUGUGCUGAAGGGAAUAUGGUAUUUCAGCCCAGUGAAUGGGUAGUACCUGGAUUCCAUGACUUUUUUCACCAGGUUUUACAUUAAAGAAAAAUGUGAAAAAGCUGCACAACAUGGCAUUCUGUAGUGUAGCAUCUAAACUCGUUUGCAGUUGCAGGUUUGUUUUUGUUUUUAAAUUGUAAUUGGUGCAGGCCCAUGAGUAGUAAAAAAAAAGAAGUAAAAUACCCUGUUUAUGUCAGUGUAAGCCAUGACAACACCAGUAGUGGGGACUCCAGUGAGGCUCUCUCCUUGGCCAAGAAAUGAACUGCGUAAUUAAAAUAGAGUUACAAAACCUAACUUACAUGAUGGAUAAGCACACGUCCAUCACUUACCUGAAAAAAAACCACAGUCUGAGGCUUUCACUCCAUUUAAGCCGGGACACAAUUCCCACCAGCUGCAUUACAAAAUCUGAAGGCACAGUUCUGUCCUUCAGCACUGCCCCAUAAGUGCAUGCAGGGUCCCUCACAUUCUGACUUGUUUCAGUAGUCUCAUGUUUCAUCACCACUGUUGCUUUUACAGAACUUGUUGACAGUAUUAACUCCAUCAUCGGUAUUAUUAACUCUUUCAACAGUAUUAACUCUCUUGACUCAAUAGUGUGAAAUGGCAAUAAAAGUAUUUCAAAUCCUUUUUGAUUUAAACAGAUUCCCACCUCUAAACACUGGUUCAGUGAUCAUUUUUCAAUAUUAUAACAGUAUUUCAUGCAGGUCUAAUAAAAGUGACUAAAGUGUUUAACAAAAAAAGUUUAUUACCAAAAUACAAUAUUAAAGUCAAUACGUGACAAACUCCUGUAAAGCAAAAUAAAUUAUUCUAACAUUGUACAGUAUUUCAGAAGGUAGUUAAAGUAGUACUACAGACUUUGCUUCAUAGUUCCAAACAGUCAUCUAUCAGGAACACAAUCCUAGAGAGAGCUUAAGGCAUGCAGCUUAAUGUGCUGGAUAAUUUCAUAAAACGAAAGUCAUCCUAUUUAAUAAGAUACAGUAUCAGCAUUAACUGCAGUCUUUACAUGUCAGUUUUCUAAUUUUUUUUUAUACUUUGGCUAUAAAAGCAAUGCCAUAGUGUUACAAUACCUUUUCUUAAAAAAAUACAUGUACCCAUGUCCAUGAAUUAUCAAAUGCAAAUGUAAAUUUCUAUUAAAUAUAUCUUAACAAAUGUUACUUUGAGCACCAACUGUACAUUUUAAAAAAAUGAUUAAAUAAGUGCUUCUGAAAGAGGAAAAUACAAUAAUUCUGACUGAAUCCCAUUUCUCCAGGCCAAGCAUAAAAUGGAAAGAUGAAAUAUGCACCUAUUUAUCAUUAUAGCCUAGUAUGAAUGAAGUUUUCUCAUUAGUAGGAGUACAGGCAUUUAAAAUCAAAGCGAUAAGUUACAGUUCAUUUUGUGGACUAAACUCUAAUGAAAACAAACAGGAAGAGAAAAGCUGAUGAGCUGAGUGCAGUGACAGAAGAUCCAAAAAAUGUUUUAGAACCUUAAAAAAAGGGGAAGACUGCAGUGUUAGUGACUUUGAAAUGUGCUUGAAAAACCCUUAUAUAACAUGCAGCCAAGCCAACCAUAUGCUUUCUAAAGCAGAUAACCUGAGAAAUACUUUGCUUUCAGAAACUAAGCCUAUAAUUACUUCACAUGCAGAACUUCUGAUAAAGGCCAUGGGAAUUGUGAGUGGGUAACGAACAGCAAGCAGCACGGGGACAGUUAAAAAUGCUUCUGUGCCUCCAGGAAAGAAUACUUUGUUGGCAUUUAGUAGAUGGAUAGCAGGUUUUAGAGGCAGCUAGCUUGAUACCAUUGCGUAGUAACCCAUGGUUUAGCAGAAAAAAAGCAUCAAGAUUGCAAAGAGCAAUUGUAAAUAGAUACGUCCUGGUUCCUAAUCCCAUUACAAGGAGUCUUGGUGCAUUAUACUUACUGCUGCAAGUGUGGCCUGAACACAGACCUAAACUGUUAACUUCAAUUCAAAGCUACUUACUUAUCUUCUCAGUUUGUGAAUACAAGUUUUUCACCUUUUCUCUCUCACUAGCAGAGCAACCUGACAUAACUAUCCCUUUAUGCAAAAAUAAGAACGUGGCAAACUAUGGUUUCUGUGCAUACUGACUGAUAGAGUUUCACUAUCUCUAAUUCAUUUUGACGUGAUGUGAAUAAAUCAUGUUUUUCAAAUGUAAAAUCCUGUUGUAGAAAUAUGAAAAAUAACUUUUAACAAAAAAAUAGUACUUGCUUCGCAUUUGUAUUUAAAGUAUCCCAACCACCUUAUAAAAAUGCUUGGAUGUCACAUCAUGACCAAUUUUUAAAGUAAAAUAUAUACUUUUUGAUACCUAAUUUAUAAACAAAGUAAUAUAUAUUUAAUCCAAAGAACAAGUUAAGGAAAUAGCUUACAAACAAAAACCACAAAAUGUAGCUGGAAUCUUCAUGCCUUUUGCCCUAGCAUUUAGACUUCAUGCUAUAUCAUAAAGUUGUAACCAGACUUGUUUUUUUCUCUUCCUCUUUGCCACUUUCAGUCAGCAGUGCACAGCACACUGUGUGCUAUAUACACAUGUACGUACAGCACCUUCUUGGAUUUACUGCUGUAGCUUACUUUCUGCUAGCAGAAAUGCAUAAAUGGGAAAUAAAAUGCUAUUUUUCUAAGAGCAAGUCAUUUUUAAGUAAUAAGCUAAUAAAAAAUCAGGUAACUGCAUUCCAUGUCAGGAACUAGGCAUGCUUCUGUGCUACUGCCAUUCUUUAAAAGCAGAAAUAAACAGCUACACUAGAAAGUUCAAAUCAUGUUAUGAAAGGGCUUGUUCAGAAGUGCUACGAUUUCAUUCAACUGAAAUGUAUAUCCCAAACAAUUCAGAUAGCCAACUUUAUACAUAACCUCCAAAAGUUGCCUGGUAAUUAGCCUGAUCCCAACUGACACGUAGAUGAACAUCUUCUACUGCACACUGCUGUUAGCAGGAAAAAUAAGGGAGAGACUUCCACGUGUUCCUUAGAAAACAAAGCAAUCCUCAAUUUCCUUUAUAAAUUCAUACUUAUAAACUAGCAAAAGUUAUCCUACAACUGACUGGUUUCGAUGAUUUUGCUUAAAAUACUGUUUGCCGUAUUUUAUUUUUUGAAAGAUAACUUUCUGUAGGAAGACUGUUUCUAUGAACUAUUUCUACAGUGACAACUCUGCCACACAAAUGGGAAAUUCAGACAGCCAGUGGGAUUUUGAAAACUCCAAAGCAUGUAGGCAUUUCUCAAAAUCCCAGCUUAUGCUCAUCCACAUCCUUGGGAUCUACAUAGGUUUAAAAAUCUCUUAGUAGUAAUUAUUGUUAACACCUUGAUCUCAUUAGAAAACAGUCCUCAUAUGUAUUGCAAAGUAAUUACUGCAAGUUACAAGUGACAUAUGAGAUGCUUGGUGUUGCUUUUUGUUUAAGUUUUUUUUUUUAAAUAGUUCUGCUGAAUGUGUUAAUAAAGCCCUUAAGAUACAGCAGGUCAUUAUUAUAAAGAAUCUUUUACACAUAAUCAAUUAAAAAGAUGUAUGCUAUUAGUUAGGAUCCAAUUGGAGAGAUAGUUACUAGCAAAAUGCUUCUAGGCUACUCAGCUCCUGGUGCUCUAAAUCAACAGAUAGGAUACCACUCUUUUUUGAAACACAGCUUAGAGUUUGUAAAGCCUUAAAAAUAGACUGGGAAAAUGAAAUGCCUGGGCGUAUGUGCAAGCACACACAUGUCCUCACCCACCUCCCCUCUCUACCUUCAGGAAUCCAGGCUGAGUUAGAUGAGAUCACACUGUAAAUUUGUAUCUGGUGUGUUGCUAGUUUCAAAAAAGAGAGUAACACAGUUAUUUGCCUAAAUAUUUGGAAAACACCAAAGCUUUUCAGUUGAUAUAAAGCUUUCAUACCUUUGGGUUUGAACACACUGUACUAAUGCAUUAUUCCUGACUAGUACCUGUCAACAAAAGGAAAAAAAGCAACAAUCCUGCAUUCUUGGCACCAUAUAGAGAAAUAACAGGUUAACGUGGAUUGUUCUCUUCCCUGCUCCCAGUAUUUAUCUCUAAAAUGAUUCAUCGAUCCCUGGUUAAAAUUUUAUAUUCUCACUGAAACAAGGACUUAGGAUGGGAAAUCAUCAAGUUUUGUUUGCAAUUCUUCUUUUUAGCUUCUCAGGCAAAAUUAGCAAAGAAAGAAAAUAUUCACUCUAGGAAAUCCUCUCUUCAACUUACUGCUUCACCUAGUUUGUGUUCUGAUUUGUGCUGUGGUCCUUAUUUAGGAUAAUAUUUAUUAUUUCACCCUCAUGUUCUUUCAUAUGAUCCAGCAGAUUUUCUUUGUUGGUAGACUCAAAACCACAAAUACAGCAGCAGAAGAGAAGCACACAGUAUUCUGUGCCAAGAUGGGGUAGAGUGGAGUUCUUUUCUAAACUGCAUGAGGUAUUCAUCAAAUUAGGCUUUUCAUUUUCAUCAGAACCUGAAAUUUCAUUAUUAGUCUGGUUAGUAGACUCUGUAAAGGACACCAGGUUGUCUGAACUUCCUAGAAUAGAUACAGUACUUUCUUCUGUGCCUUCUAGUAAGGUUUUGUCAGGAAGCUGUCCUUGAAACCUGAAAAAAUAAUAAAAACUUGAAACAACUAUCAAAAUGUACAGUGGUUGCUUUUUGAUGGGAAUUUUACUUUGGAUCAGAAUUGGCUCAUUUGAAAAUUCUAGAUAAUAGGUUUGAAAGUAGACCUGAUUUACCUGCUGCUUUGUGAAAUUGCAUCGUUAAUAGCCUUGUUGACUUGUUCGUAGUUAUAAUUUUGGUCACUUGCAUGUUUCCACAUGUGGGACUUCAGGGAAGGGGGAUGGCUACAUACAUAUCCACAGAGAGAACACCUAAGGAAAAGAAGUGGAGAAGAGAUGCAUUUAAGAGUUAAGUUUUACUAUAAUGGUAAUGCAUUUUUUUCUCCCAAAAGGAUGACUCAGCAGUAAGAUACACAUCAAUCCUCAUAACUAGGUGAAAUAAGUUUGCACAAUUUCAUUCUACAAUGUAAUUUAGAGAGUAUGAGAAUUUAAGAUCGGCUUUUUAAACUCCUUAAACGACUUAACUGAAAUCUUAUCUAUUUGACCUGUUAAAUCUGUUUAAAUACUGCAAAAAUGAAAUAGUUCUAACGACUGCAGAAACAUGGAGUAUAUCUGUAUGGCAGCUGGCAGGCUGAGUUUUCUCUGCCAUUGCUCUGAACCAAGCAGAAAUUGUAAUAAUUAGCACUGCUAAUUUAAACAGAAUUGAUAAAGCCUUUCUUGGUGCAGCAUGUAUUAGUUUAUUUGAGGAUCACAGAAUUGCAGAAGUUGGAAGGCACCCCUAGAGAAUAUCCUGCUCCAUCCAGCUGUUCAUGCAGGAGAAACUAGAGCAGGUUCCCAAGGCAGCAU